This 253-nucleotide ribosomal RNA is filed under the name uncultured bacterium. RNAcentral describes it as "partial 16S ribosomal RNA". It matches the Rfam family "Bacterial small subunit ribosomal RNA", at positions 524 to 776 of the family's 1533-position model. The record is from RNAcentral.
UACGAAGGGUGCAAGCGUUAAUCGGAAUUACUGGGCGUAAAGCGCGCGUAGGUGGUUCAGUAAGUUGGAAGUGAAAUCCCCGGGCUCAACCUGGGAACUGCUUUCAAAACUGCUGAGCUAGAGUACGGUAGAGGGUGGUGGAAUUUCCUGUGUAGCGGUGAAAUGCGUAGAUAUAGGAAGGAACACCAGUGGCGAAGGCGACCACCUGGACUGAUACUAACACUGAGGUGCGAAAGCGUGGGGAGCAAACAGG